UCUUGGAUCCUGCAGUUGAGGGACAGCACAGAACAGCAUCGUGACCUUCCUCUCUCAGCACAGAGCUUCACUCCCUGUCCCCUGUGGCCCAGACUUCCUGUGCAAGGUCUCCGAAAUAUCCUGAGGUACUGGCACUUUCCCAGAGUGGACCCUUCACUCACCUGAAGUGACUGAUGGGAACCUUGCAAGCAAGAUACCAGUGCCCAUCUGGUACUGUUUUCUGUUGCCCUGAAGAAGUCCCAUUGACAUUUCUCAUAGUGAAAGUCUAUUCGCAGACAUUCUCAGUGUUGAUAUUCCAUAAAUGGAUUUAGUUUUCUUCCUUCAUUUAAGGAAAUUUUUCUAGGUGUGGAAUUCAAGGUUGGCACUGGCAGACUUUAAAGAUGCCAUUCAACGUUAUUGGUUUGCAUUUUCUUCUAAUAAAGAGUUGUCAUCCCACUUACCAUUUUCCCCAUGUGUAUCAUGUUUUUUCUGACCAUUUUCAGAUUUUGUCUUUUGCAGUUA
This is a long non-coding RNA of Prionailurus viverrinus (fishing cat), 501 nucleotides long. RefSeq lists it as uncharacterized. The transcript has 3 exons. Lineage: Eukaryota; Metazoa; Chordata; Mammalia; Carnivora; Felidae. The record is from RefSeq and is a predicted model, not a curated record.